AUUGAACGCUGGCGGCAUGCCUUACACAUGCAAGUCGAACGGCAGCACGGGUGCUUGCACCUGGUGGCGAGUGGCGAACGGGUGAGUAAUACAUCGGAACAUGUCCUGUAGUGGGGGAUAGCCCGGCGAAAGCCGGAUUAAUACCGCAUACGAUCUACGGAUGAAAGCGGGGGACCUUCGGGCCUCGCGCUAUAGGGUUGGCCGAUGGCUGAUUAGCUAGUUGGUGGGGUAAAGGCCUACCAAGGCGACGAUCAGUAGCUGGGCUGAGAGGACGACCAGCCACACUGGGACUGAGACACGGCCCAGACUCCUACGGGAGGCAGCAGUGGGGAAUUUUGGACAAUGGGCGAAAGCCUGAUCCAGCAAUGCCGCGUGUGUGAAGAAGGCCUUCGGGUUGUAAAGCACUUUUGUCCGGAAAGAAAUCCUUGGCUCUAAUACAGUCGGGGGAUGACGGUACCGGAAGAAUAAGCACCGGCUAACUACGUG
RNAcentral lists this ribosomal RNA (486 nucleotides) under uncultured bacterium. Its description in RNAcentral is "partial 16S ribosomal RNA". It matches the Rfam family "Bacterial small subunit ribosomal RNA", at positions 30 to 507 of the family's 1533-position model. The record is from RNAcentral.